GACGUAGGGUGCGAGCGCUGUCCGGAUUUAUUGGGCGUAAAGAGCUCGUAGGUGGCUCGUCGCGUCAGCUGUGAAAACCCGCGGCUUAACCGUGGGCUUGCAGCUGAUACGGGCGGGCUAGAGUUCGGUAGGGGAGACUGGAAUUCCUGGUGUAGCGGUGAAAUGCGCAGAUAUCAGGAGGAACACCGGUGGCGAAGGCGGGUCUCUGGGCCGAUACUGACGCUGAGGAGCGAAAGCGUGGGGAGCGAACAGG
Molecule: ribosomal RNA, 253 nt
Filed under: uncultured bacterium
Lineage: Bacteria
Description: partial 16S ribosomal RNA
Rfam family: Bacterial small subunit ribosomal RNA
Source: RNAcentral